This 256-nucleotide unclassified non-coding RNA is filed under the name Bombus terrestris (buff-tailed bumblebee). RNAcentral's name for it is "misc RNA ENSBTSG00005031762.1". Lineage: Eukaryota; Metazoa; Arthropoda; Insecta; Hymenoptera; Apidae. The record is from RNAcentral.
UAGGGAUAUCGAGGGCAACAAAAGAAAGAAUCCGUGGUUUCGAACAAAAGAGUCAGUCUAUCUCAAGCUGCGAAGUACGAAAGGUUCAGUAUCAUAGCGAAGCAAACACAAGCCGAGAUACGCGAUUGUAAACUCUCGUUGGUUAAUCAUAAGUAUGAAUCGUAUAAAUUGUUGACUCGUUGAUUGUUAAUAGUAAUAAACUUUUUGUUGAACAUCGGAGUAUUCCUUCCGCACCUAUCACGACAUACCACCUCAC